This is a long non-coding RNA of Ctenopharyngodon idella (grass carp), 1304 nucleotides long. RefSeq lists it as uncharacterized. The record is from RefSeq and is a predicted model, not a curated record. The transcript is spliced from 5 exons. Lineage: Eukaryota; Metazoa; Chordata; Actinopteri; Cypriniformes; Xenocyprididae.
GGGAUUCACUCUCGAGAUUGCGAUGACUGACACAGUGAUCACUAAUACUCAAACUCACUAAUUUCAGAAGCUGCCUCUGAGAUUUGAUUCUGGAACCGGGCCCAGUCCAAAGGCAGGAUUUUGCUGCAUUAAAUAUCGCCCCACAAGACCAACCAGGCCUUCGGCGCCACCCAGCUGUCUUUGGACAAAGCGGAGAAUGGGUGGCUGGAGGAGUUUUAUCCAUGAGGUCUCCCUUGUUGAGCAGGAAGGAGGCCCACUACUUCUUUUUUACUUCUAUUCCCAGCUCCUGUAAAAAUUUAAUCUGGAAUGGGCACCUUCACUGAUUUAGGACAUUUCUGUGCAUGUUUCUGCUGUGUACGUUUCCGAUGUGUGUGUUUGUUUUGUGUUUGUAACUCUUUGCCUAUGCUUUUCCCACUCCGAACAGGUGAAGAACACCUACAGACCGAUACAAAGUGGCACAAUUCACAUGCCAUGACACCUCCACAGCUGGCAGGUUCUGUGUUGAACCUCAACACAAAGCAAUAAUAAUAAUAAUAAUAAUAAUAAUAAUAAUUCCUUACAUUUAUAUAGCACUUUUCUGGGCACUCGAAGCACUUUACAUAUUGAAGGGGGAAUCUCCUCAACCACCACCAAUGUGCAGCACCACCUGGAUGAUGUGACAGCAGCCAUAUUGCGCCAGAACGCCCACCACACACACUAUACUGGGGUGUUAGGACCCACACAGACCACAGGGUGAGCGCCCUCUGCUGGCCUCACUAACGCCUCUUCCAGCAGCUACCUAGUUUUCCCAGGAGGUCUCCCAUCCAGGAGGGACCAAGAGGAGGCUCUUCAGUGCGAAUGGGAAGACACCAGCCAGGGUAAAACUCAUGCCAGUGGUGCAGCUCUCCCGCUGAAAUCACCCCAAAAAUAUCAGCUGUACCAAAAGAUGAUGUACAGGAGACACAGAGGUGAACGUAGAUGGGAGUUUAUUUACAAACAGCAGGGAAACAGUGAUGCAGGAAUGGAGAUUGUGGAUGGAUGGACGAACGUCAACGGAGUGCACACAUGUAGGAGGUAGGUAGACACACACAGACGAAGAAGCACGGAGACUGAGGAAACAUGCUGGAGUGAAACAGGGAAGUAGAUCGGCAGGCUUGGAGAUAAACAUGAAGAAGUCCUUUACGUAGGAACACAUAAACGAGACCGGACAACUGAGUGAGGUGAGUGACGUGCUUAAAUAGUCUGGUGAUGGUGUGCUGAUGAGAAGCAGGUGUGUGUGAUUGUCAGAUCAGGAGCGGUGAUGAGGAAGUGUGUGCAGGUGUGGG